UGAUGAACGUGUUUUUAUUUAAAAUUGU
RNAcentral lists this small RNA (28 nucleotides) under Bombyx mori (domestic silkworm). RNAcentral describes it as "ovarian small RNA-32773". The record is from RNAcentral. Lineage: Eukaryota; Metazoa; Arthropoda; Insecta; Lepidoptera; Bombycidae.